UCCCAGCUGGCUCAGACCAGUAAAGAAUUUGCUUGCAAUGCAUGAGACUCAGGUUCGAUCCCUGGGUCGGGAA
RNAcentral lists this transfer RNA (73 nucleotides) under Bos taurus (domestic cattle). It matches the Rfam family "tRNA". Rfam says of the family: Transfer RNA (tRNA) molecules are approximately 80 nucleotides in length. The record is from Rfam by way of RNAcentral. Lineage: Eukaryota; Metazoa; Chordata; Mammalia; Artiodactyla; Bovidae. RNAcentral also lists the same sequence under 4 other names.